AGAGUUUGAUCCUGGCUCAGAACGAACGUUAGCGGCGCGCUUAACACAUGCAAGUCGAGCGAGAAAGGGAGCAUCCCCGUACAGCGGCGCACGGGUGAGUAACACGUAGGUAUCUGCUUUCGAGUGGGGGAUAACCUUCCGAAAGGAGGGCUAAUACCGCAUAAAGACCACGCCUUCGAGAGGGGGAGAGGUCAAAGCCGGCCACUAUACAUAAGCUGGCGCUUGGAGAUGAGCCUGCGGCCCAUCAGCUAGUUGGUAGGGUAAUGGCCUACCAAGGCUAAGACGGGUAGCUGGUCUGAGAGGAUGAUCGGCCACACUGAACUGAGACACGGUCCAGACUCCUACGGGAGGCAGCAGUGGGGAAUCUUGCGCAAUGGGCGAAAGCCUGACGCAGCGACGCCGCGUGGGUGAUGAAGGCCUUCGGGUUGUAAAGCCCUGUGGAGGGGGACGAAUAAGUCAUGGCUAAUAUCCAUGGUGAUGACGGUACCCCUUUAGCAAGCACCGGCUAACUCUGUGCCAGCAGCCGCGGUAAGACAGAGGGUGCAAACGUUGUUCGGAAUUACUGGGCGUAAAGCGCGUGUAGGCAGCUUGGCAAGUCGGGUGUGAAAGCCCUGGGCUCAACCUAGGAAGUGCACUCGAAACUGCUUCGCUUGAGUAUCGGAGAGGAAAGCGGAAUUCUCGGUGUAGAGGUGAAAUUCGUAGAUAUCGAGAGGAACACCAGUGGCGAAGGCGGCUUUCUGGACGAUUACUGACGCUGAGACGCGAAAGCGUGGGGAGCAAACAGGAUUAGAUACCCUGGUAGUCCACGCCGUAAACGAUGGGUGCUAGGUGUCGCGGGCUUUGACUCCUGCGGUGCCGUAGCUAACGCAUUAAGCACCCCGCCUGGGGAGUACGGCCGCAAGGCUAAAACUCAAAUGAAUUGACGG
RNAcentral lists this ribosomal RNA (926 nucleotides) under uncultured bacterium. Its description in RNAcentral is "bacterial SSU rRNA". It matches the Rfam family "Bacterial small subunit ribosomal RNA", at positions 8 to 916 of the family's 1533-position model. The record is from RNAcentral.